CCUGAGAAACGGCUACCACAUCUAAGGAAGGCAGCAGGCGCGCAAAUUACCCAAUCCUAACAGAAUAAGGGAGGUAGUGACAAGAAAUAACAAUACAAGGCAUUAAAAUUGCUUUGUAAUUGGAAUGAUAGAAAUUUAAACACUUUCUAAAGUAUCAAUUGGAGGGCAAGUCUGGUGCCAGCAGCCGCGGUAAUUCCAGCUCCAAUAGCGUAUAUUAAAGUUGUUGCAGUUAAAAAGCUCGUAGUUGGAUUUUUGCUAAAAUUAACUGGUCUGCUUUUUGUAAAAGUAGUAUCUUGGUAUGUUUUUAGCAUUAAUGUCCUAAGGAAAUGUUUUUUGCUUGAUUGUAACAAACAAUAAUUAGGAUUUUUACUUUGAAAAAAUUAGAGUGUUUCAAGCAGGCUUACGCUUUGAAUACUGCAGCAUGGAAUAAUAAAAUAGGAUUUNGNUUCUACAUUAUU
This 458-nucleotide ribosomal RNA is filed under the name Haemogregarina sp. RNAcentral describes it as "SSU rRNA". It matches the Rfam family "Eukaryotic small subunit ribosomal RNA", at positions 395 to 845 of the family's 1831-position model. The record is from RNAcentral. Lineage: Eukaryota; Apicomplexa; Haemogregarinidae.